RNAcentral lists this ribosomal RNA (253 nucleotides) under uncultured bacterium. RNAcentral's name for it is "partial 16S ribosomal RNA". It matches the Rfam family "Bacterial small subunit ribosomal RNA", at positions 524 to 776 of the family's 1533-position model. The record is from RNAcentral.
UACGAAGGGGGCUAGCGUUGUUCGGAAUUACUGGGCGUAAAGGGUGCGUAGGCGGGUCUUUAAGUCAGGGGUGAAAUCCUGGAGCUCAACUCCGGAACUGCCAUUGAAACUGUGAGACUUGAGUAUGAGAGAGGUGAGUGGAAUUCCCAGUGUAGAGGUGAAAUUCGUAGAUAUUGGGAAGAACACCGGUGGCGAAGGCGGCUCACUGGCUCAUUACUGACGCUCAGGCGCGACAGCGUGGGGAUCAAACAGG